This 54-nucleotide ribosomal RNA is filed under the name Disperis sp. CPG 29216. RNAcentral describes it as "partial 26S ribosomal RNA". Lineage: Eukaryota; Viridiplantae; Streptophyta; Magnoliopsida; Asparagales; Orchidaceae. The record is from RNAcentral.
CGACCCCAAGACAGGUGAGGUAACCCGCUGAGUUUAAGCAUAUAAAUAAGCGGA